CACGUACUUGGCAACACUUUGAAGACCAGUGGCUUGGGAGGGUGGGCAGUUUUUCGUUCCUAUUUUCUCCAUCCGCCCAUCCUCAUUCUUCAGUGUGGAUAACUGGCAUUUUCUUGGUGUAAAGUAAAUUGAAUUUCAAGUUCUACUUCAAUUCCUAUCUGAAUGUGGCUUCUCAGGGAAGUGAAGGAAGAGGUUUGAAGUUCAGAGCACAGCUGCAGGGUUUCUCUCUGAUCUGAACAAUGGCUGUAGCUGUGGACAAACAAAUCCACACUCAAGUACAAGAAGGACUUCAAAUAAUGAAGCUGGAAGAAGAUUCCCACAGGGAGCAGGAAAUUUUCCUUCUAGGGAAUGUCCCUGGACCAGAGACCUCCUGCCAGUGCUUUUGGCAUUUCUGCUAUUGAGAAGCAGCAGGACUCUGAGAGUCCCUCAUCCAACUCUGGAAGCUUGGCCAUCGGUGAUUGAGACCAGAGAUAAACGAAAGAGCAGUUCCUAGAGUCACUAGUCCUAGAAUCGUUCCUGGCUGUCCUUCCCCAGGAGAUCCAGAUCUGGGUUAGACAGAAGCAUCCACAGAGUGGACAGGAGGCAGUGGCCCUGGUGGAAGAUUUGCAAAGAGAACCUGGAAGACAGCAGCUGCAGGUCAUGGUGAUGAUGUCACAGCCAGACCAGAAGACCAAAUGAAUCGUAGCCCCGAAGUAGAACUGGGAGCCUCCCACAAGAGUGAGCGAGCGCAAACUCACUGCCCUGUGGCAUGUGGAAUCUUCCUGGACCAGGGAUCGAACCAGUGUCAUUAAAAGAAGGAUUCUUAACCACUGGACCACCAGGGAAGCCCAAGUUGACUUUUUAAUGUGGUGACUUGUCUGGGCAGAACUACAUGCCCGAGUUCACCCCCUGUGUUUCCAGGUAGAGUAGGCCACUGAAGAUUUUUCUGAGUGAGAAGUGGUGGGUAGAAGGGAAGCCGCAGCCAUCCUGGCUCCACGCUCAGGAGAUGGGGCAGGUGCAGCAGUGUGACUCACGCAUGUGGCUGGUUAGCUACCUUCAGCGAUGCCAUCUUCCCAAGAUCCUCCUUAAGCUUCUCCCAACCCUGGGCCAGGGGCGUGUUAGCUCAGUGCUAGACUGUACCCGCUUCUCCAGAAGGUGACCUGCAUCAAGAACUGACAGGUUCCAGCUGGUCCUUACCCUCCCCAUCUUGUCUGCCUACCGGGGUCCAGCCCCAGCAGGAUCCAGGGAUACCCUCAGGAUGGACAGCGUCGGUGAGAGAGAAAGUAAAGGAGAGAAAAAGAGGCUGAUAUUCCUUGGUUUACAGAGAAAGCCAAUAAAGCCCCUGACACAGGACUUGCUCUGUUCACGGAGGCCACAGGCGACCUCUCGAUGGAGUGAAGACGCAGAGCGCCUUCUCUCUGGAGUGGAGACGCAGAGCGCCUCCUCGAUUGGGUCUUAGAAGCCUGGGCAAAAAAAAGUGAACUCAGAGAGCCUCUGUGCUCCGAGGAAUCAGCCCGAAAAAAGAGAAAGAGAGAGAGAAAGAAUGACACGGGGAGUCCAAGCUCUGAUGAAGCCGGGUCUGCAGCUUUAUUUUCAAAGGGAGCUUUUAUACCCCGAGUUACACAUUUCCAUAAGUGAAAGACACAAAGUCAUGCAGAGUCAGCUCAACAUUACAUCUGUUUUACCUUUAUUGAAACCAGGACAUUUUCUGCAUAGCUUUUCAUAAACAAGGGUCUUAUGUACAGCAUCUUCUGGCCCUGUGGCCUGUUAACAUUUUGUAACUCUUUCUUGAUAAAGGUUGGUCAACCAGAAAACCUGCUUUCCCUUUAUCUUCCCAAUCUGCAGUCCUCCUCAGGAAACACAGCUACAUUCUUAUGGAGCAGAGGUGCAGUGGGUUACAACAAAGAAAGAACUUACUAACUCAAGGGUCUUAUAUUGCUAAUGCCAAGGCUACUGCUUGUUUUCUUGCAUACCAACUAUACUAGCUAAUGCACUCCCAGGCGCACCAUUGGGUAAAGGACAAGGAAACUCAGUAGCAAACAUUGGCUCAACAAUAUAGUAUUAUUCUAAUAAAGCUUUUUUUUAUCGCUCGAAGUUUAUGCUUGGGGUGUUGUGAACAAUCA
This is a long non-coding RNA of Bos taurus (domestic cattle), 2102 nucleotides long. The record is from Ensembl. Lineage: Eukaryota; Metazoa; Chordata; Mammalia; Artiodactyla; Bovidae.